GACGACGCUGGCGGCGCGCUUAACACAUGCAAGUCGUGCGGUGUGGGAAGGCAAGUCUUACGACAAGCCUUCGACACAGCGGCGAACGGGUGAGUAACACGUGAGUAGCUGUCCUAAGGAGGGGGAUAACGCCUGGAAACGGGUGCUAAUACCCCAUAUGCCUCGCAAGAGGUGAAAGUGUACUUGCUACAGCCUUAGGGUGUGCUCGCGGCCUAUCAGCUAGUUGGUGAGGUAACGGCUCACCAAGGCUAAGACGGGUAGCCGGCCUGAGAGGGUGUACGGCCACACUGGAAUUGAGAUACGGUCCAGACUCCUACGGGAGGCAGCAGUGGGGAAUCUUGGGCAAUGGGCGAAAGCCUGACCCAGCGACGCCGCGUUGGGGAUGAAGCCCUUCGGGGCGUAAACCCAUGUUGUAGGGGACGAAGAAAGUGACGGUACCCUACGAGAAAGCCCCGGCCAACUACGUG
Molecule: ribosomal RNA, 467 nt
Filed under: uncultured bacterium
Lineage: Bacteria
Description: bacterial SSU rRNA
Rfam family: Bacterial small subunit ribosomal RNA
Source: RNAcentral